GAUGAAGAACGUAGCGAAAUGCGAUAAGUAAUGUGAAUUGCAGAAUUCAGUGAAUCAUCGAAUCUUUGAACGCAUCUUGCGCUCCUUGGUAUUCCGAGGAGCAUGCCUGUUUGAGUGUCAUUUAACUUCUCAACCACAUUGGAUAUUUUUUUUCCGAUGCCGGCUUGGAUGUGGGGGUUGUUUGCAGGCUUUUUGUAACAAAAAAGGUCGGCUCCCCUGAAAUGUAUUAGUGGUAUCUGAGGCUAUUACUAUUAGGUGUGAUAAUUAUCUAUGCCUUUUGGGUAUGCCGCAUGAACAGAUUAUGCUGCUUCUAACGAAAACUAUUUUGAUGAAUUUGACCUCAAAUCAGGUAGGACUACCCGCUGAACUUAAGCAUAUCAAUAAGCGGAGG
RNAcentral lists this unclassified non-coding RNA (391 nucleotides) under soil metagenome. RNAcentral describes it as "partial contains 5.8S ribosomal RNA, internal transcribed spacer 2, and large subunit ribosomal RNA". The stretch from base 1 to 120 matches the Rfam family "5.8S ribosomal RNA", at positions 35 to 154 of the family's 154-position model. The record is from RNAcentral.